UGUAAUCGUUGUAAAUCGAAAGCGUUGCCGAGAAUAAUAUAAAUAAUAGUUUUUAAAUGUAAUACGGAAAGAAAAGAAAACUAAGAGCGUUCUUUACUAAUUUCAAGUGUGUGUGUGUGUGUGUGUGUGUGUGUGUGACUGUGCCAGAGAAAGAAAAGAGGAAAGCUCAGGCGUUACGGCUCUAA
RNAcentral lists this small RNA (185 nucleotides) under Drosophila guanche. Lineage: Eukaryota; Metazoa; Arthropoda; Insecta; Diptera; Drosophilidae. The record is from RNAcentral.